RNAcentral lists this ribosomal RNA (253 nucleotides) under uncultured bacterium. RNAcentral describes it as "partial 16S ribosomal RNA". It matches the Rfam family "Bacterial small subunit ribosomal RNA", at positions 524 to 776 of the family's 1533-position model. The record is from RNAcentral.
UACGUAGGGGGCUAGCGUUGUCCGGAAUCAUUGGGCGUAAAGAGCGCGUAGGCGGCCAGAUAAGUCCGGUGUGAAAGCCACAGGCUCAACCUGUGAAUGCCGCUGGAAACUGUCUGGCUAGAGUCCGGAAGGGGCGAGUGGAAUUCCUGGUGUAGCGGUGAAAUGCGCAGAUAUCAGGAGGAACACCAGUGGCGAAGGCAGCUCGCUGGGACGGUACUGACGCUGAGGCGCGAAAGCGUGGGGAGCGAACAGG